UUCGCAAUGCCCGAAAGGGUGACGAAGCGACGCCGCGUGGGUGAGGAAGGCCUUCGGGUUGUAAAGCCCUGUCAGGAGUUAAGAAAUGUAGAUACGCUAAUAUCGUAUCUAUUUGGCAAAGGCUCCAAAGGAAGCCACGGCUAACUCUGUGCCAGCAGCCGCGGUAAUACAGAGGUGGCAAGCGUCGUUCGGAAUUAUUGGGCGUAAAGAGCACGUAGGUGGAUUUGUAAGUCAGACGUGAAAGCCUUCUGUUCAACGGAAGAAUUGCAUCUGAAACUGCAAACCUUGAGUAUAGGAGGGGAGAAUGGAACUUCUGGUGGAGCGGUGAAAUGCGUAGAUAUCAGAAGGAACGCCGGCGGCGAAAGCGAUUCUCUGGCCUAUUACUGACACUCAGUGUGCGAAAGCUAGGGGAGCAAACGGGAUUAGAUACCCCGGUAGUCCUAGCCGUAAACGAUGGGCACUAAGUAGAGGGGUUUUA
RNAcentral lists this ribosomal RNA (478 nucleotides) under uncultured bacterium. Its description in RNAcentral is "bacterial SSU rRNA". It matches the Rfam family "Bacterial small subunit ribosomal RNA", at positions 365 to 833 of the family's 1533-position model. The record is from RNAcentral.